RNAcentral lists this ribosomal RNA (1054 nucleotides) under uncultured Lactococcus sp. Its description in RNAcentral is "bacterial SSU rRNA". It matches the Rfam family "Bacterial small subunit ribosomal RNA", at positions 433 to 1501 of the family's 1533-position model. Lineage: Bacteria; Bacillati; Bacillota; Bacilli; Lactobacillales; Streptococcaceae. The record is from RNAcentral.
CCGUUGUGUAGAGUGGAAAUUACACCAAGUGACGGUAUCUAACCAGAAAGGGACGGCUACUACGUGCAGCAGCGCGUAUACGUAGGUCCCGAGCGUUGUCCGGAUUUAUUGGGCGUAAAGCGAGCGCAGGUGGUUUAAUAAGUCUGAUGUAAAAGGCAGUGGCUCAACCAUUGUGUGCAUUGGAAACUGUUAGACUUGAGUGCAGUAGAGGAGAGUGGAAUUCCAUGUGUAGCGGUGAAAUGCGUAGAUAUAUGGAGGAACACCGGUGGCGAAAGCGGCUCUCUGGACUGUAACUGACACUGAGGCUCGAAAGCGUGGGUAGCAAACAGGAUUAGAUACCCUGGUAGUCCACGCCGUAAACGAUGAGUGCUAGUUGUUUGGGGCUAUCCAGCCCUAAGUGACGCAGCAAACGCAUUAAGCACUCCGCCUGGGGAGUACGACCGCAAGGUUGAAACUCAAAGGAAUUGACGGGGGCCCGCACAAGCGGUGGAGCAUGUGGUUUAAUUCGAAGCAACGCGAAGAACCUUACCAGGUCUUGACAUACCAGUGCUAUUCUUAGAGAUAAGAAGUUACUUCGGUACACUGGAUACAGGUGGUGCAUGGUUGUCGUCAGCUCGUGUCGUGAGAUGUUGGGUUAAGUCCCGCAACGAGCGCAACCCCUAUUGUUAGUUGCCAUCAUUAAGUUGGCACUCUAGCGAGACUGCCGGUAAUAAACCGGAGGAAGGUGGGGAUGACGUCAAAUCAUCAUGCCCCUUAUGACCUGGGCUACACACGUGCUACAAUGGUUGGUACAACGAGUCGCAAGCUAGUGAUAGCAAGCUAAUCUCUUAAAGCCAAUCUCAGUUCGGAUUGUAGGCUGCAACUCGCCUACAUGAAGUCGGAAUCGCUAGUAAUCGCGGAUCAGCACGCCGCGGUGAAUACGUUCCCGGGCCUUGUACACACCGCCCGUCACACCACGAGAGUUUGUAAUACCCAAAGCCGGUGAGCUAACCUUUUAGGAGGCAGCCGUCUAAGGUAGGAUAGAUGAUUGGGGUGAAGUCGUAACAAGGUAGCC